RNAcentral lists this ribosomal RNA (484 nucleotides) under uncultured bacterium. RNAcentral describes it as "partial 16S ribosomal RNA". It matches the Rfam family "Bacterial small subunit ribosomal RNA", at positions 30 to 507 of the family's 1533-position model. The record is from RNAcentral.
AUUGAACGCUGGCGGCAGGCCUAACACAUGCAAGUCGAGCGGAUGAAGGGAGCUUGCUCUUGGAUUCAGCUGCGGACGGGUGAGUAAUGCCUAGGAAUCUGCCUGGUAGUGGGGGAUAACGUCCGGAAACGGGCGCUAAUACCGCAUACGUCCUGAGGGAGAAAGGGGGGGAUCUUCGGACCUCACGCUAUCAGAUGAGCCUAGGUCGGAGUAGCUAGUUGGUGGGGUAAAGGCCUACCAAGGCGACGAUCCGUAACUGGUCUGAGAGGAUGAUCAGUCACACUGGAACUGAGACACGGUCCAGACUCCUACGGGAGGCAGCAGUAGGGAAUAUUGGACAAUGGGCGAAAGCCUGAUCCAGCCAUGCCGCGUGUGUGAAGAAGGUCUUCGGAUUGUAAAGCACUUUAAGUUGGGAGGAAGGGAAGUAAGUUAAUACCUUGCUGUUUUGACGUUACCAACAGAAUAAGCACCGGCUAACUUCGUG